This 468-nucleotide ribosomal RNA is filed under the name uncultured bacterium. RNAcentral's name for it is "partial 16S ribosomal RNA". It matches the Rfam family "Bacterial small subunit ribosomal RNA", at positions 28 to 507 of the family's 1533-position model. The record is from RNAcentral.
GACGAACGCUGGCGGCGUGCUUAACACAUGCAAGUCGAACGGAAAGGCCCUGCUUUUGUGGGGUGCUCGAGUGGCGAACGGGUGAGUAACACGUGAGUAACCUGCCCUUGACUUUGGGAUAACUUCAGGAAACUGGGGCUAAUACCGGAUAGGAGCUCCUGCUGCAUGGUGGGGGUUGGAAAGUUUCGGCGGUUGGGGAUGGACUCGCGGCUUAUCAGCUUGUUGGUGGGGUAGUGGCUUACCAAGGCUUUGACGGGUAGCCGGCCUGAGAGGGUGACCGGCCACAUUGGGACUGAGAUACGGCCCAGACUCCUACGGUAGGCAGCAGUGGGGAAUAUUGCACAGUGGGCGGAAGCCUGAUGCAGCAACGCCGCGUGCGGGAUGACGGCCUUCGGGUUGUAAACCGCUUUCGCCUGUGACGAAGCGUGAGUGACGGUAAUGGGUAAAGAAGCACCGGCUAACUACGUG